GAAAUGCGAUACGUAGUGUGAAUUGCAGAAUUCAGUGAAUCAUCGAAUCUUUGAACGCACAUUGCGCCCCUUGGUAUUCCAUGGGGCAUGCCUGUUCGAGCGUCAUUUGUACCCUCAAGCUCUGCUUGGUGUUGGGUGUUUGUCCCGUCUCCGCGCGUGGACUCGCCCCAAAGUGAUUGGCAGCCGGCGUACUGGUCCCGGAGCGCAGCACAUGUCGCGCAAACGAGUGCCUUGGUACGGCGGCGUCCAUAAGCCCCUCUCUCACGCUCUUGACCUCGGAUCAGGUAGGGAUACCCGCUGAACUUAAGC
Molecule: unclassified non-coding RNA, 309 nt
Filed under: plant metagenome
Description: partial contains 5.8S ribosomal RNA, internal transcribed spacer 2, and large subunit ribosomal RNA
Rfam family: 5.8S ribosomal RNA (bases 1-105)
Source: RNAcentral